Long non-coding RNA from Fukomys damarensis (Damara mole-rat), 630 nucleotides. RefSeq lists it as uncharacterized. NCBI's taxonomy places the organism in Eukaryota, Metazoa, Chordata, Mammalia, Rodentia, Bathyergidae. The record is from RefSeq and is a predicted model, not a curated record. The transcript has 3 exons.
ACUUCAGAGGCAAAGAGGAACCCGGAGACCAGGCCACCUGCACAGGCGCUUCCGGGCUGCGCCUCCAGAACAGAUAUCAGAACUCUCCACCUCUGAGUGUAAUGAAGUCACCUCCCGAGACCGCUGCUGCCGGAAAACGGGAGCUCUCAACAACUGAGCACCUGCUCAGCUCAGGAAGGAUCAGGAAACAUGCUUGUGAUCCUUCAUUUGCAUGUCAACACAGCCAACGGAAAGACACUAUUCCUGAUCCCUCAUCUGCAUACAGUGGGAAGCCAAAGGAGUUUUGCCAAGUGUUUGCUAAGACUACUUUCCCAGUGUUUCAUUUGUGAGAAAGAGGUUAAAAACAAAAGAGAGAGGGAGGGGUAACCUGAAAAUGUUGGAUACAAAAGAUGCCUUUCCCCUUUCCUCCAGCUCUGGAGCUCUCCCGCCGGCUGCCGCCCGCCUGCACAGUGCAUUUCCUUUCCACUUUCAGGUAAGAACACCUUCCCUGCCUUUCCUCUGGGUCUCUUCCAGUUCUGUCCGCAGCCAGCAACCUGGAGAGAAGCCUGCGGGGCCGGGCAGUGACACUGUCUGAAGACUGAGGCUGCGCGCCAUCAACUCCUGCCAGGUGGAGGUGGGGCCGGCCGGCCG